RNAcentral lists this unclassified non-coding RNA (760 nucleotides) under Hevea brasiliensis (rubber tree). The record is from RNAcentral. Lineage: Eukaryota; Viridiplantae; Streptophyta; Magnoliopsida; Malpighiales; Euphorbiaceae.
CAAAACACUCUCUCUCCUUCUCUUCUCCCCUCUGCUCUUCUCUCUCUCUCUCUGAAACUUUCUCUGUCUAAAAAGUCUAUUGCGGAGACUGGAGACGACCACGGCCAUUGCUGGCCUGCCCUGCUAACCUUCUCCAAAUUUAGCUCUAGAAAGAGACCGUACGGUUUCCUAUUCUCGUCAAUACGGUGCGUACAGUGACGAAGCUAGGGAGAUCUGGUUCGGUUGUAGCGGAAUGGAGGAAGAGAAAGGGGCGGUAGUUCAGAGUUUGAUUGAUACGGUGAACGAGAUUGCUUCGAUCUCUGAUUAUAGGUAUACGGUGAAGAAGCAGUAUUGCAAUUUAGCUAGGAGAUUGAAGCUGUUGAUGCCAUUGUUCGAGGAGAUUAGAGAGAGUAAGGAGCCGAUUCCUGAAGAGACUGCGAAAGCUUUAGUUUUAUUAAAACAAGCUUUGGAUUCAGCUAAGGAGUUGCUCAGAUUUGGCAGCGAAGGCAGCAAGAUUUACCUGGUAUUGGAGAGGGAACAAAUUAUGAACAAGUAUCAUGAGGUGACAACUCAAUUGGAACAAGCUCUAAGUGGAAUUUCCUAUGAAAACCUUGACAUAUCAGAUGAAGUUAAGGAACAGGUUGAGCUUGUCCAUGCUCAGUUCAGGAGAGCGAAAGGAAGGGUUGAUCCUCCUGAUGUUGAGCUGUAUGAAGAUCUAUUAUCACUUUAUAACAAGAACAAAGAUGCAGAAAUAGAUCCAGCUGUCCUAAGAAGAUCAUCU